Xenia sp. Carnegie-2017 is the source of this 1046-nucleotide RNA transcript. RefSeq lists it as uncharacterized. NCBI's taxonomy places the organism in Eukaryota, Metazoa, Cnidaria, Anthozoa, Malacalcyonacea, Xeniidae. The transcript is spliced from 7 exons. The record is from RefSeq and is a predicted model, not a curated record.
AAGUUGGAGGCCAUGUUGUGCUCUAAUCAAAAUUUUCGCAUACAUAUUAUAAGCUUGGUGCAACAGAUGCUAACAUCGAGAUGGUUCGUAGAAUCAUUUUAUUGAAAGUAACGGUUUGUUUUCUUUGAUCACUGUCAAACAAAUCCCUUAAGUAUUGUCCUUAAAGAAACUUAAAGGAAAGAAUUGGGCUUGAAAUUCAUUCAAUAUAGUUAGGAAGAUCUACGAAGUAUAAAAAUAAAAGUGAUCAUGGCCGAGGCGCAAGAUACAGACUUGGACAUUUUUGAGACACUAACAAAAGAAGAGAGUAUAGGAGACCAGAUUCAAGAGACUUACGGAAGAGGGAUUAUUUCAGAAAAUUUAAUCCAUUGUGAUACAAGUAAGAUAUCAAGUGACAAUGAAGCUUUUACAAAAAAUAGUUCCUGCAUUGUUUCUAACAAUAAACAAGAAGAUGAAAUACGGAGAUUGGAGUUGCAAAUUAUCGAAAAAAAUGAUGAAAGACGGAGAUUUGAGUUGAAAAUUAGCAAAAUAAACGAUGAAAGACGAAGAUUCGAGUUGCAAGUCCGUGAAAUAACAAUGUAAUACAGAGAUUGGAACAAGAACUAAAGAAAUGUAUGGAAAAAGAUCAAAAUGUGCCCGAAAAACGUGUUCAAGUCAAAAAGCGGCCGGAGGGGCAAGAAACAUUACAACAGCAAGCACUAAAAGAAAUUGGAGAACUACAAGAUCCAACAAUUUUGUGCUUUAAAAUUGUAUCGCUCAUACUUAGUGUAUGCUACAGCAGGAUAUUUGUAAAGAGAAAAUAAUCGGCAAUAAUCUAGGGGAUUGAUCGACUAACUAAAACAAUGAAUGACGAUGGACUGAAUGACAAGAAAUAGAGAAAAAUAUAUCAAUAUUUAAAGCAUUUUGUAAAACUGAUAGUUUAUAAUUUACGACUUUUUACGUUUAAAAUUGUUCCACUGAUAUAUCUUAUUUGAUGACUCACUAUUUUCCUCGUUUAUUUAUUGUUUUCUUUUAACAAUAUUAUAUACUAAGCUUACCGGCCCGUUUUA